Molecule: unclassified non-coding RNA, 1069 nt
Filed under: Santolina ligustica
Lineage: Eukaryota; Viridiplantae; Streptophyta; Magnoliopsida; Asterales; Asteraceae
Description: partial external transcribed spacer
Source: RNAcentral
CCUGAGUCGAUUGUUGGUUGUUCCGAGAAGUUUUUGGCCGUUCGCAACUCCGCCCCCUAAUCGGUGUUGGCCGCGCAUGGCACCGGUCGGGCUUGAAAAGACAAUCAAGCCUGUCGAUGACGAGGUACCUAGCGUAGGGUUUUUUUUUCGAUUUUUUUUCGAAAAAAAACUUUACGAUAGGUAUUGAGUCAUCAACAUGCGUGGGGCGGUCGGUUUCGUUGCUUCGGACCUUGCGUAUUUUCUAGAUGGACGUAAUUCGUUAAUCAUUCUUCGUUAGUGACCCGACUUAAUUGCCAUUUGCCAGCGUUUACGAGCGAUGUCGGUUGAGCUUUGCUCCGGCUUAGACUGCAAAAUAUACGUAUUGGGUAGCGUUACGGGCCAUGUUGGUCGAGCUUUGCUCGACCUAGACUGCCGGUAUAAAACGCAGGCAACCGUGGACGAGCGAUGUUGGUUGAGCUUUGCUCCGGCCUGACUGCUAGUUACACGGAUGUAUGUUACUCGGGGCAUGUUUAGCGAAUUCACUGAACUCGAUGUAAAUACACCAGCAAGAGAUGAUGCAACGUAGCUCACCGUUUGGUUUCCUGAUUUCGUAUCGUUCGGUGCAUUCUGGGGCUGUUUUGGCUUUUGGUUGCUUGCUUCGCUUUAGGCAAAGCGGGUGGCUACUAGUCGGGGUGGCUUCGGGGAUGUUCUCCGUAAAGGUGCAUGAGUGGUGUUUGGUUUGUUACGUGUGGUUGGCUGCGGCGCUUGCAACAACUUCCACGCUCUCAUACCUCUUCAGUAGUGCGGCAAGGCUUGUAUCGCCUUGAGCGUAAUGUGGGUUUUCUGUGUUUUAUACCUAAUCAACGGUAUCGGUUGGAUAGAUAAAAAGUUGCUUUUCGCCUUGCGUUGCAUUUGCGGCGUGAGGUGAACCUGAAUGCGUUCUCUUUGGUCCACCUUGUCGCAGCACAAGCUUCGGCAUUGUGGCACAUUGAGUAUUGCUUGGUUUCUUGUAUACGGAACAUAAAGUGGGCAUGGAUCUAACGAUUCUUGUUUGCCCUUGUUUCAGCGUUCUCGCUUCUUUAAUACGACU